GAUGAACGCUGGCGGCGUGCCUAACACAUGCAAGUCGAACGUGAGGGGGUAGCAAUAUCCCUGAAAGUGGCGCGCGGGUGAGUAAGACGUAGGUGACCUGCCCUGGAGUGGGGGAUAACAGCUAGAAAUGGCUGCUAAUACCGCAUACUACUAGAAUGCUGGUAAGUGUACUAGUAAAAACUCUGGUGCUUCAGGAGGGGCCUGCGGCCGAUUAGCUAGUUGGCGGGGUAAGAGCCCACCAAGGCAGUGAUCGGUAGCUGGUCUGAGAGGACGAUCAGCCACACGGGAACUGAGACACGGUCCCGACUCCUACGGGGGGCAGCAGUGAGGAAUAUUGGGCAAUGGGCGCAAGCCUGACCCAGCAACGCCGCGUGGAGGAAGACGGCCUUCGGGUUGUAAACUCCUUUUACGGGGGAAGAGGAAGGACGGUACCCCGCGAAUAAGUCACGGCUAACUACGUGCCAGCCGCCGCCGUAA
RNAcentral lists this ribosomal RNA (477 nucleotides) under uncultured bacterium. Its description in RNAcentral is "partial 16S ribosomal RNA". It matches the Rfam family "Bacterial small subunit ribosomal RNA", at positions 28 to 523 of the family's 1533-position model. The record is from RNAcentral.